GAAGCAGCAGGCGCGCAAAUUACCCAAUCCUAGAUCGGGGAGGUAGUGACGAAAAAUAACGAUGCCGCAAUCUUCGGAUUCGGCAAUUGGAAUGAGAACAAUCAAAAUCCUUUAUCGAGGAUCGAUUGGAGGGCAAGUUCUGGUGCCAGCAGCCGCGGUAAUUCCAGCUCGAAUAGCGUAUGUUAAAUUUGCUGCGGUUAAAAAGCUCGUAGUUGGGUAUCAGGAGAUGAACUCUGCACUGUUCAUUACGAACAGUAUUGCUUGAGUAUCGCUCCUUAUGUUUAAUCAUUCCUGCAUUCGAAAGAGUGUACGGAAGGUGAACGGACUACUUUGAGAAAAUUAGCGUGCUCAAUGCAGGCGUAAGCUUGUAUAUUUAUGCAUGGAAUAAUGAGAAAGGACCUCGGUUCUGUUUCGUUGGUUUCCGGAAGCUGAGGUAAUGAUUGAUAGGGACAAACGGGGGCAUUCGUAUUGUGGUGUUAGAGGUGAAAUUCUGUGAUCACCAUAAGACGAACUACUGCGAAAGCAUUUGCCAAGAAUGUUUUCAUUAAUCAAGAACGAAAGUUAGAGUUUCGAAGACGAUUAGAUACCGUCCUAGUUCUAACUAUAAACUAUGCCAACUGGGCAUCUGGCGAUUGCAUCAUUGCAUCGGCAGGCACCCUGCGGGAAACCAAAGUUAUUGGGUUCCGGGGGGAGUAUGGUUGCAAAAUCGAAACUUAAAGGAAUUGACGGAGGGGCACACCAGAAGUGGAGCCUGCGGCUCAAUUUGACUCAACGCACGAAAACUUACUCGGUCCGAACACCGUGAGGAUUGACAGGUUGAAAGCUCUUUCUUGAUUCGGUGGGUGGUGGUGCAUGGCCGUUCUAUUGUUGGGGGGAAGAAAGACC
This 885-nucleotide ribosomal RNA is filed under the name Microsentis wardae. Its description in RNAcentral is "SSU rRNA". It matches the Rfam family "Eukaryotic small subunit ribosomal RNA", at positions 422 to 1311 of the family's 1831-position model. Lineage: Eukaryota; Metazoa; Acanthocephala; Eoacanthocephala; Neoechinorhynchida; Neoechinorhynchidae. The record is from RNAcentral.